CCCGCUGAACUUAAGCAUAUCAAUAAGCGGAGGAAAAGAAACUAACAAGGAUUCCCCUAGUAACUGCGAGUGAAGCGGGAAAAGCUCAAAUUUAAAAUCUGGUGGCCUCUGGUCAUCCGAGUUGUAAUUUAGAGAAGCGUCUUCCGCGCUGGACCAUGCACAAGUCUCCUGGAAUGGAGCGUCAUAGAGGGUGAGAAUCCCGUCUUUGGCAUGGAUGCACCAGGGCUUCUGUGAUGCGCUCUCAAAGAGUCGAGUUGUUUGGGAAUGCAGCUCAAAAUGGGUGGUGAACUCCAUCUAAAGCUAAAUAUUGGCGAGAGACCGAUAGCGAACAAGUACCGUGAGGGAAAGAUGAAAAGCACUUUGGAAAGAGAGUGAAACAGUACGUGAAAUUGUUGAAAGGGAAACGCUUGAAGUCAGUCGCGUCGACCGAGACUCAGCCUCGCCUUGGCUUGGUGUACUUCUCGGCUGACGGGUCAGCAUCAAUUUCGAUCGGUGGAUAAAGGCUUAGAGAAUGUGGCAUCUUCGGGUGUGUUAUAGCUCUUCGUCGCAUACAUCGGUUGGGAUUGAGGAACUCAGCACGCCGCAAGGCCGGGUACUUGUACCACGUUCGUGCUUAGGAUGCUGGCAUAAUGGCUUUAAUCGACCCGUCUUGAAACACGG
This 660-nucleotide ribosomal RNA is filed under the name uncultured fungus. Its description in RNAcentral is "eukaryotic LSU rRNA". It matches the Rfam family "Eukaryotic large subunit ribosomal RNA", at positions 24 to 664 of the family's 3401-position model. The record is from RNAcentral. Lineage: Eukaryota; Fungi.